RNAcentral lists this ribosomal RNA (481 nucleotides) under uncultured bacterium. RNAcentral describes it as "partial 16S ribosomal RNA". It matches the Rfam family "Bacterial small subunit ribosomal RNA", at positions 29 to 507 of the family's 1533-position model. The record is from RNAcentral.
AACGAACGCUGGCGGCAGGCCUAACACAUGCAAGUCGAGCGAGUACUUCGGUUCUAGCGGCGGACGGGUAAGUAACACGUGGAUAACCUACCUAUAAGACUGGGAUAACUGCGGGAAACCGUAGCUAAUGCCGGAUAAUAUUUUGAACCGCAUUGAUCGAAAGUGAAAGACGGUCUUGCUGUCACUUAUAGAUGGAUCCGCGUGGCAGUAGCUAGUUGGUAGGGUAACGGCCUACCAAGGCAACGAUGCAUAGCCGACCUGAGAGGGUGAUCGGCCACACUGGAACUGAGACACGGUCCAGACUCCUACGGGAGGCAGCAGUAGGGAAUCUUCCGCAAUGGGCGAAAGCCUGACGGAGCAAUGCCGCGUGAGUGAUGAAGGUCUUCGGAUCGUAAAACUCUGUUAUUAGGGAAGAACAUAUGUGUAAGUAACUGUGCACAUCUUGACGUUACCUAAUCAGAAAGCCCCGGCUAACUACGUG